AGUGAACGCUGGCGGUAGGCCUAACACAUGCAAGUCGAACGGCAGCACAGUAAGAGCUUGCUCUUACGGGUGGCGAGUGGCGGACGGGUGAGGCAUACAUCGGAAUCUACUUUUUCGUGGGGGAUAACGUAGGGAAACUUACGCUAAUACCGCAUACGACCUACGGGUGAAAGCAGGGGAUCUUCGGACCUUGCGCGAUUGAAUGAGCCGAUGUCGGAUUAGCUAGUUGGCGGGGUAAAGGCCCACCAAGGCGACGAUCCGUAGCUGGUCUGAGAGGAUGAUCAGCCACACUGGAACUGAGACACGGUCCAGACUCCUACGGGAGGCAGCAGUGGGGAAUAUUGGACAAUGGGCGAAAGCCUGAUCCAGCAAUACCGCGUGGGUGAAGAAGGCCUUCGGGUUGUAAAGCCCUUUUGUUGGGAAAGAAAAGCAGCAGGUUAAUACCCCGCUGUUCUGACGGUACCCAAAGAAUAAGCACCGGCUAACUUCGUG
This 492-nucleotide ribosomal RNA is filed under the name uncultured bacterium. RNAcentral describes it as "partial 16S ribosomal RNA". It matches the Rfam family "Bacterial small subunit ribosomal RNA", at positions 29 to 507 of the family's 1533-position model. The record is from RNAcentral.